RNAcentral lists this long non-coding RNA (2563 nucleotides) under Mus musculus (house mouse). RNAcentral's name for it is "predicted gene, 49492". Lineage: Eukaryota; Metazoa; Chordata; Mammalia; Rodentia; Muridae. The record is from RNAcentral.
GAGCUGCGCGUGGGGGUGGGUAGGAACCCCAGGCCUCGCGGGGACUGGGACCCAGGGCCUGUGGGGCCGCUUGACUCAGCCCCCUUGGAGAGCAGGACUGGAGUCUCGAUAGGGGACCCCGUGUCGCCUUCCCUUCAGCCGAGGAUUGAGCAGUGACAACCGUGACUCUCUGGUGGUCAACUGCCCUUCUCAACGGCCAACCUCAAGUUCACGUCUGUCCUCUAGGCCGUAAAGGAGAGGGAACUCGGACGUCACUAAGGCUCAGGGUCUCCGGAGCAGCUGUGCACAUCCCAGAGGGACCAGGGUCCCGGACGCUCUGCUGAGCUAGCUCGCUUUCCCACCUUCAGGAGGGGCGGGGUCCCACCUGCAGCCUGCGGGCUAGUCAAGCAGCACACGAAGGUGUGAAAAGAAAGGCAAAGUUUGACGCGAUGGAGAAAAACAAGCCACUGUUUUGGGGACCGUGAUGGUGGGGAGGGUUUGUUAUAUCUACUGACUUUUGAAGGUAGAGGGAGACUCAGAGGCCGAUUAGGGGCCAGGGGAACGAAGGUUUGGGACAUAAUGGACAAAAGAAGGAAGACCAGGAGAGCGAGAAAGAAUGAAGGGAGUCACCAGAGAAGAGCGUUAUCAACGCAGCCAAGUGGAUUCCCAACAGUGUUUCCCUCUUCGCCCUCACCCCACACCCGUGCUUCCGUGGUCUAGGAUGAUCUCGGUAGGCCGUGCAGAAGCAGCAAUAGGAGAAAUGAUGAACUGUAGAGCCCUUGCCAGACAGUCCCUUAAACGUCUCCAGUGGAAGCACACACUCAGGAGGAGAGGGGAGCAGCAUCGGCUGGGUUUGACCAACAGGUACACUCCAGGCUGCCUGCAUCAUGCUGGCUACUGGUGCCGCAGAGCUGGGCUGUCCGCUGUUUUCCUGGGGCCAUGGAGGAGGCACUGCGGGUGAGACUAACUAAAGGGUCAAGAACCAGAAAGCUUGGGGUUUUAUCCCAGCGCGUCCAUCCAUUUGCGGUCUAGGCAAACGAUACAGUUUAGUUUUACAAACAGAGGUAGCCUGAGCCGGGCACCGUCCCACCUGUAGGACCGGCUGCUGGAGAGGCAGCAAACCGAAUGAACCUGUGAAUUAGGAUGCAGCCUGAACAACAAAGUCUCUCUCUCUCUCUCUCUCUCUCUCUCUCUCUCUCUCUCUCACACACACACACACACACACACACACACACACACACCACACAGAGAUACAUUCCCCCAGACACCCUACACAGCCCCACAUAUGCUCAGAGACACACCCCACACAUUCCCCACGAGCGUACACACACGCAAACACAUGCACACCCGCUCAUCCUCGAACACACACACAUUCACACAUAUAGGCACACACACAACACAUACUGUUAGUGUACUGUCUAAGCUCCACUCCACAGUUAUCUGGCAACUGCCAGGUAGGCCUGACCCACUAUAAAAGGGGCUGCUUGCCCCCUCCUGCUCUCUUGCUCCUCUCUUGCCCUCUUGCUCCCACUCUCUCCCCAUUCCCUUCCUCCCCUCUCCAUGUGCUCAUAGCCAGCCUCUGCUACACCAUCUCCAGUAGGAUCUGUGUGAUAAGUUCCACACAUUGAGGCGAUUGACCUCAAGAGGGGGAGGGGAGGCCUCCUGGAAUCGGUUGUGGAACUCUUCCCUGGAGCUGUAGUUCUCAUGGCAAUCUGUCUGUUUUGUUUUCUCUUAUUCCUUUUCUUAUUUACACGUUCCUGGUAACCUAGGCCAAGUUCUUUUUUUUUUUUUUUUUUGGCUUUUGGUUUGGUUUUUGGCCCUGGCUGUCCUGGAACUCACUCUGUAGACCAGGUUGAUCUGGAACUCAGAAAUCUGACUGCCUCUGCCUCCCAAGUGCUGGGAUUAAAGGCGUGCACUGCCACGCCCCUCUUAGGCCAAGAUUUUAAGUGAGAAUAAUGGGUAAGAAACCAUCCCUAUAGAUGGGGUCACUAACAUGACCUUAUCCCCAGGGAAACCAACACUUUACUUUCAAAAUCAUUUACAAAACUAUUAUAAUAGAUAAAAACUUUACUAACAAUAAAAUUUCAUAUGGCUACAUGUGUGUCAUUGGUGGUGGAUUUUGGUAUAUGUUAAAGAAAGCCUUAAUUAGAAAAAAUUAAAAUAGUUUAAAUUUACACAGUGAAGAUUUUUAAAAAGUCAGGCAUUAGAUGUUAAAUAAUAAUUGACCAUGGGGCUGGAGAGUUGGUUCAGCAGUUAAGAGCACUGACCGUUAAAGAUUUAUUAACCUGCACCUGGAAAUAUGCCACUACCCUUGGAGGACAGCCCCCACUGAAUACAUCCCUUUAGAAUUGUUAUACUUUGAUGUUUUAUAAUGAUGUUACCUAUUCUGUUUGUGAUUCACUGAAUACAUAGUUUCAGAGUUGUAAUGCUUGGAUGAUUUUUGUGCUUCACUGUGCCAAAUGAUUUUUGUUGGUAUUUGUGAUUGUUUCACUGGAUAUAGUUUCUAAGAGAUAUGGAAUGCUUGGUUUUUUUAAUGUAUAAAAUCCCCUGCUUGAGAGCUGCAGAAUACAUUCAGAUUCAAACU